RNAcentral lists this ribosomal RNA (253 nucleotides) under uncultured bacterium. Its description in RNAcentral is "partial 16S ribosomal RNA". It matches the Rfam family "Bacterial small subunit ribosomal RNA", at positions 524 to 776 of the family's 1533-position model. The record is from RNAcentral.
UACGGAGGGUGCGAGCGUUGUCCGGAAUCACUGGGCGUAAAGGGCGCGUAGGCGGCCUGAUAAGUAGGGGGUGAAAUCCUGCGGCUUAACCGCAGGGCUGCCUUCUAAACUGUCAGGCUAGAGCACAGUAGAGGCAGGUGGAAUUCCCGGUGUAGCGGUGGAAUGCGUAGAGAUCGGGAAGAACACCGGUGGCGAAAGCGCUCUGCUAGGCCGCAACUGACACUGAGGGACGAAAGCUAGGGGAGCGAAUGGG